Solenopsis invicta (red fire ant) is the source of this 6685-nucleotide long non-coding RNA. RefSeq lists it as uncharacterized. The record is from RefSeq and is a predicted model, not a curated record. The transcript has 2 exons. Lineage: Eukaryota; Metazoa; Arthropoda; Insecta; Hymenoptera; Formicidae.
UCCGCUCCGCUCCACUCCGCGCAGCAACGCGCGCGUCUUUGGGGGAAGGGAAAGAGACAGAGGGAAAUGCUUAUUGCGCGCCGCGCCAUGCGCGGAAGGUGUUCUCGUUGAGCAAACAGCAAAAAUGAAUUAAUAUCACGCGGAAUUUCAAUCGACGUUAAUGACGAGCCGUGCGCCGACCGUGUGUGCACCGAACGUUCAAGCGAGAAAAAGAGAGAAGGAGGAAACACUUGUUGCGCGCGCCAUGGAAGCAAGCUUUUUCCUCUCCUCUCCUGUCGCCCCUUCGCGAGACAAAUAACGAAACAGAUAUGUGGCGAAAUUUCGAUCUGCGUGGGUCAAUAACGUGUUAGACAGGUGUGUGGAUCGAACGAAAAGAGAGAGAGAGAGAGAGAGAGAGAGAGAGAGAGAGAGAGAGAGGGAAUACCUGUUGCGCGCAUCGCGGAAAGACGCUCUUUCCACAAACGAGCGUGGCGAGACCGCGUCAACGUUCGGCAGAAUUUGCGCUAAAGCUAGGGACGGGCGCACGACGAAGAUGACCAACGUUCAGAGUCGAGAUUUAGCGUAAAUACGAGAGAAAUACGAUGAGAGACGCGGAACGAGAGGGACGAGACUUUACCCGCCAUAUUAACGCCUGACGCGAGCGCCGCGCCCCGCGCGCUUCGUUCGUUUACUUUUUUCGACGCGAAUUUCCGAAAUACCGCGCGCUAUCAUAGGUGUCGCUCGAAAAAGUGCGACUGCAUUUGGAAUCGAGCCCCUGAUGACUCGCGAGGGGGUAGAGGGGAGACAGCGUCGCGGUAUCGGUGGUAUACCUGUUUUUGCUCGCUGCGCUACCUGCAGCCUGCCACGAACGAGAGUGGAGGGGAUGCUGGAGAAAGAGAGAGAAAGACAAAGCGGGAGCGAGCGAAAGAGGGAAAUGGCGAGAAAGGGAGAAAUGGAGAAUACGUUGAGUACGUCAGAAACGAGGAGGAAAACGGAUUUCGCGGGUCGACGACGGAAAAUGUACGCGACGCGACGCGGUGUAGCUAUAAUAAGGGAAAGGCGCAAAAGCUCGCGCGUCAGGUACGCAGACGCUCCGAGUGUCACCCUGCUCUCUCUCUCUCCUCUCCGGGCUCCUCGGAAUCCCCGGCUACGCCACGUCCACCAGAGGCGUUUCGCCUCGCCUCGCCUCGCCGCGCUACGCUCAUGGCGGAUCCAUGUGGUUCGCACGUGGAACGAGACGCGCUGCGUCGCGCCGUUGCUCGCGAUCGCCGGUGUACUCACUCGUCACUCCGAAAUACUGCGAGAGAUUCCGUGCGACCGCUAACCGUCGUCAGAUGGGAAAAUGGCGCGAGUGCGUAGGACAUCGGACGCGAGAGAUUUCGUAAGAACCUGCUUCCAGAAUGCACUGAAGUUUUGAUCGUUCGGGCUCGCGCGUGAGUGUCGAUCGUCUUUCUCUCUCUCUCUUUUCUCUCCCUCCUUAACCUUAUAACAAAAUACUCCAUGCGUUGGAUCAGCGCAUCUAUUUCACGUUCCUUCGGAUGACAAACUUGGUGUGAUUUCGUAAUCAGCUCUGCGAUUAUGCGGCGACGUCGUCGAAUUUAUGCGGCUUCCUGUCGCGUAAUACAGGGAGAAAGAGACUCUCCCCUCGCUUCCCUUGCCUCUCAAUGGACGAAUACUACCGCCGGUAACAACUCGGUUGCAAUCGCGUUGCAAAAGCGCCGGAAAUCUCGACUCCUCGAUCGAGCGAUCGCUUUCCUUCGCGAUUGAAUCGCAGCCGCGUACUCGGAAGAAAUCGCGAGGAAACGAUCGCUAUUAAGCAUCGUCGCAAUUAUGAGAGAAAGUGUGGAAAAAUGGCCGAGGAAAGCGGACUCUGCGGAGAAUCGUACAGCCGCGCCGCCGGCGCCGCGCUAAUUGAGCUCUACGUUCGUUGCUUUUUUUCCUCACUCGUCUUUCCAUCUUUUGUCCCAUCUUUUUUAUCCGCGAUUAGUGCGAUUACUGCACUGCCACCGCGCGAGAACGAUCGCUGUCAUGUUCGAAACGUAGCGCUUCAUCGGAAAUACCGCAACGUCCGAUUUCGCCGAGUCACAGCGCACCGCGACCCUCGACGUUUCCUGCCGCCUGCGUUUCUCAAUCUGCAGGCGCAGAGCGAGAAUGUCACGAUGGCGACAAUAAAUUUGCACUUUUUACCCAUAUCGACGCGCAUCGUCGAUGAUGACCCAGUCAGAUUACUCGUGCAUACGUACUCAUGCAUUUUAAGCGUGCUCGUAUAAUAUGUCGUCCCGUUCCUACGCAACGAUCACCGAUUUGCUUGCGUGUGUGCGUGCGUGGUGUGUGUGUGUGUGUGUGUGUGUGUGUGUGUGUGUGUGUGUGUGUGUGCGCGUGUGUGUCGAGUCUGAAAAUAAUUGCGCCAAGAAAGAUAAUAUGUAGAUACUGAAUUACUCGACAAGACGCGGCUCAUCCUCGACGCUUUUACGUCUUGUUUAACCUUUAGCCAAUCUACGAUAAGUAUAUUGAAAAAAAAGAGUCUAGGUACUAAGGUGACAGUUGCUAAACCUUGGUGAAAUAGCUUCAAUUAAAUAUUUAGUUAUAUUUAGUACUCGUUUGGUAAUCAGUUGCUUAUUAUUGUUAUAUUGUCUCUCCGUUUCUCUUUAUUAUUAAUUAUUAUUACUAGGAAAAGGCAGGCGCUCUUUCACUAGCCAAGGAGUGAAAAAGAGAGAGCGACGACAGCUGCCGAUGGAUUUGACGUAGGAAUAUCCGAAGGAGCGAGGCACUCGGAAAUCUCGGAAUUGCUAUUGAGAAGAGAUCGCGUGUCGCGUCGGCGGCGCGGGAUUGGUCAGCCACCUGUUACCCGCCGGCCGCGAUUGGCCGUCGCCAACGGCAACUGAACAACCGCCAAGGGAAGAACGAAUACACUCGGAGCUCUGAUCACGCAGGUCCGAAUGGUGAACGAGAGCUGUUUUUUUACGCGACCGGAGACACAUCUCGGCCGUACGAAAAAUCAUCCGGUUCUCGUCGGAGAUGAUUCCGCGCCGGCGCCGCGGCGUGGGAAUUUAUUAUCUUCGUCAGAUCGAGACUUGGAAAACGAGUUAAUCUCAGGAUCGAAGCUUUAGCGUUCGCGUGUGCGAACUCUUUCUUCGAAUCAUCAUCGGCGAAACGUUUCCUUUUUAGCUAAAAAAAUCGGCAGGAUUGACGCUAAUCGUUUCUCGUCCUAUAUCGAAACCAAAGUCAGUCACCGUCAACUCGUAAAUAACUCGAUACAACACAGAAUACAAUAGGUAUAACAUUUCAGCAAUAUUGCGGCAACAUUGCAACAUUUCAGCGACAUUGCAGAAACAUUACAAAGUUGUCGCAACACUAUUAGAAUCUUUUGUGCUCGAUUUAUUAUAAUUCACGUAACAAAAAAAGAUAAUCAUGCAACGCUUAUUAUUAUUCGAUACAGGAGGAGCGAUAAUUCGGACAGAACGAAUCGUGAAUUUCUAAAUUUUUCGCGAACGAGAUUCUCUUAAGAGAAAUCACGCCGGCUUUUCGUUGAUCCUGGCGGAUUCUCUUCGCCUCUAUCGUAGCUAAGACUGCAGUCUGGGAAGCUAAGCCAGGCUUUAAUUCAGGGACCACUGGCGCGACCGUGUCUUAAUCCCGGAUAAAAUACGGCCCUGACGGAUAAUAAUUAAAGCGGCGUUCAAGUCCUAGCGAGCAAAGUCUGCCUGGAUUCCAGUAUCAGAGAGAUCCGGUUUACACUCUCAGACUCUGUUCCAUGCUCGUCACCGAUAUGAAUAUAUUAUUCUUGUUAAUAUAUUAUUGCAUCAUUGUUAUUAUAUCACUAUCGUUCAAAAUUUAGCAUGCAUCCGAGCAACUUUUUAUCGUCAAUCUUAAUUUAUUUAUCGACAUUGUUUUCUUCACGUAUACGAGAAAAAAGAUUAGUUGCAGUUAGCAGCAACAAAAAUCAAUGUGUGUGUGUGUGUGUGUGUGUGUGUGUGUGUGUGUGUACAUGUUAAAGUUUAACUAUAAUAUACAAUUGAAAUUUAGUUACCAAAUAUAGAUUCUAGCUGCUGCAAUUAAUCUUUUUUUUCCGUGUAACAGUUCGAUACACGUGGCAAAACAGCAUUCCACCAAUACCGAAUAAAACGUGAAAUUAACAAGUUGAAUAACAGAGAUAUCCCGUUUUCGGGUCCUCCACAGUUUCUGAAUCGAAGCUUCGCUUUAAUUUAUAAACCGUUCAAAUAAUAAUUUGAUUAAAAAAAGAUACACAAAAUUUUAUUUUAGAGUUUUUUUUUUUAAUGACCGAUACGCUUUUUCUUAAUGAUCAAAUGAGCACUUAAUUAUUGUAUUACGCGUUUAGCGAUGAGUACGUAUGUAUAUACAUGCAAACACAAGCGCACGUAAAUAUAUCGAGAAAGAACGCAAAAGGGAUGUUUUGCGUCGAGAAAUCGCGCAAUUUUUAUGACAUUUCAGAAUUCAGACUCCCGAGAUCUAGCUACAGUCGAUCGACUACUCCGGGAUUCAGCCUGGGAUUUUUUUUUUUUUUAUCAGAAAUCCGUAACCAAAGUUCUCGCGGCCAUAACAAUUCUACCUUCUGCCAUUUCUCUGAACCAAAAACAAGAUUCGCGGCAAGUCAGGCAAAAGACGGGUGUAACGUUAAAGGGACGACGAGGUCGAUCCACUUUGGGACUCCUUUUACAUGCGGCGUAAGAGGACGGAGAACGGAUUCAUCGUUGCGGGGAACUUUCUCCCGGACAGGCGUUCAACGCUCGUAUACGUGGCUCUUGUGUCUGGCCACGUAACUUUCGAAACGACAGGACAGGUCUCUCGCAGAUUGCCAGUACAUUCCUUUCAACGAUGCCCAUGGAACUGAUCCUUACGUCCUCGCGACCUCGAGAACCCUCGCGUAUAAAAGUGUGUACGCGCAUCUCGUUAACACUUUGACUAUACCAAGCUGAUUUCAAUAUCGAGCUCAAUAAAUCUAGUAUUUUUAUAAUUUGUUUUUCUUAACGUCUUAACGUAAUUUAUAUUGUUUCUUUGAUAUUUGAAAAAAUAUAUAUAUAAAUUACAAUAAGUCAUCUUAAAUACUUGGUAAAAUUAUUCUUGAUCGGGUAAAACUGUCACGCACCAAUGAAUGAUGGAAAUUUACACGUCACAUGGAUACAUGAGCAAUUUUGACAUGGCAGCAAAGUGUUAAAAUUAUGAAAAAGUUGUACAUCAUAAGAAUAUGUUAUCUUUAAAUUUUGAAAAUUAUUUAUCAUUUACAGGAUUUUAGAAACUUGAAAAAAUUGCAAAUUUAUAUUUUUAUCCAGUUUUUAGAAAUCUUAAAAACAAAACCGAUAUAAAUUAAUAUUGUAAAUCGUUAAAAAUUAUAAAAUUUAUGACCCAAGAUUAUCACGUUUUUUAACGAAACAUUUAUGGGAAAUGCAAAACGGUGACUAUGCAACUUAAACAUGGAUUAUGUGAUUAAUUUGAAGUUUUAACAUAUAAUAUUUUUAAUAAUGUCCUCAUCAGAUCACACAUAAACAAUAAGAAGAACCUCUGCAUUGUGACAGAAAAACUAUUAUCUAUUUUGAACAAACUGAACAUAUUUAUUAUUAUUUCAUAAAGAAGAUAGAUCAAAGACGAGCUGUUAGAAGGUGCAGAAUACAUUUAAUUAGAAAUUUAAAACAAUAUAUAGCAACGUUUCAACUUAACUUAUUGUUAGUCAUUAUUAUCAGCCUAAUAUGUUAAUUAUAAUUAAUAAGAAUGAAAGGAAUAUAUCUGAUGUUGAAAUGGAAAAUGUCUAGAAUGCAUUGUUAGACCAAUGUGCAUUUCAAAUAAGCAUUCAUUAUAUUCAUUAUUGUACGACGAAACGUGCAACGCGACUCGCAAGGACACUUUUCGUAAGUAAUCGCGGGCUUUCGCGAGGAAGCCGGGAAGCCGGGUAGCCGGGCCUCUUCCCGGGAAGCGCGCGCGGUCUCGCCUGGUCUCGCCGCUCGCGGUGCGCGACGCGACGCGAGGAAACGGCGGCAGCUCUCGGUGAAGACCGGAGGGAGAGGAGGCGAUCGGGAGAGAGCGAGCGAGUGAGAGCAUUGUGGUCGCUGACCCGGCCGGAACGUUGACUCCAUGUAGUCAGUCCCCUCUUUACAUUUUCCCCGGGUCUUGCCGUGUAGCCGUACCUUCGAUUACGUGGAGUUACCUUACCCCUUCCCGCUCGUCUCGCCUCACCUCGUCCAGCAUUCGCCCGCGGCCAGCGGCCCGCGUAUCUCGCAGCGUUCCCGAGGAAUCCUCCAAUUUCCUUCCCCCUCGCGACCCUCCUACGUAUUUUUCCCCUCGACUUUUCCGAUGGCUAUCUUACUUUCCGUUUUACCUCCUCCGCCGAUCGCCGUUACUCGGAGGAGUACCGCGCCGCGCCGACUUCGCCCAUUCAUUUUUCCUCGUACGUAUGUAUUUCUACUAUUUCUAGUUUUUCUCAUCGGCAGAGAAGGAAGAAGAGUAAUCUUCAACGGGAAAUGCAAAACGCCGUUGUCAAUUUCGAUAUUCCUGCGCGACGUCGACGUUGAUAAAUGUGUUAAAAGCGAGAUUUCAAUACACCCUUGACAUUUUUAUAUCAUGUAUAUGUCUUUUAUAAUUGUCUUUUAUAUUUAACAAAUAUAUUUAUUACAUUACGUGCAUGACUGAUAUUAAUAUAUGUAUAUAUUACUUAACUUAACAGUGUAAAUAUAUAUGUAUAGUAUGUUUAAUUCAA